GGUGCUCAGCGGGGGCCGCAGCCCCGCGCGGCCCGGCCCGGCCCCUCCAUGCGGCCCCGGGUUUGUUUGUUUAUGUCCCUUCCUGACGGGUUCCCGGAAAUCGCGUGACUCGACCCUCACGUGGCCCGAGGGGGCGGGCGCGCGCGAGGGGCGGGGGGAAGGGGGCUGCGCCGUCCAAUAGCAGGGGGCUGUGACUGUCACGUGGCGGCGGAGCGGCGCGCGGGGGCUAUUUAAGGCGGGGAGGCGGGUGCCCGCGGGCAGAGCGCGGCGGGGCCGAGGCGCGGCCGCGGCUGCUGAGGCUGUGCGGGGCUCCCGUCCCACAGCCCGGUCCUGCUGCUCUGCGGCCCCGCUCUCGCACUUACUCCUCCUUCAUCCGUUCGUGUCCUACCCGCAGCUCUGUAAUUUGUCCUACUGUCUUCUGCUACAUGCACAACCACCUUUCACAGUGUCAGGUGGCUGGCAUGGACUGCUUCAGACACAACUGGAGAAAUUAUUAGUAAUAAAUAUAAUAAAAAUAGAGUAACUCGUUUUUAUCUUGCUAUUUGUAAAGAAUGUCUUCUAUUCUUUAAAGAAGUUUUUGUUAUUUCACCCCAUUUAUUCUAUUUUUGCCCCACGGAGUCCAUGACAUUUAAUUCUGGAAACAAGGAAGCAGCCACCCACCUCUGAUAACUCAGCCCUUCACAGGAGUAAAAUGCUUCCAUGAUUUCCUCUAGAGGAAAAGUAAACUUCUGUACAGUCUGCAGAACGAUUUCUUGUGAGGGGCAGAGAUGCAGAUAUUUGCAUUUCCUAAACAAUAUGAACGAAAGCAGUUACAAGCAUUUGAAAUGACCCUGACCUGAAUUCGCACUCUAUACAUUGCCAGAGUUUAUGACUUAAAAGUCUUCACAACUUGACUGUGGAGUCAGUUUCCUUCACCUUCCUCAUUUUUUACCCAAGUAUCUUUCAACACAGGCAAAGGUUUUCCAUUUCAAGCACAAACUUCUUUCUUUUACACUUGAACAAUCUGUGUUCUCUUCUGCUGUCAGACAACAGAGGCAUGAGUGAUAAAUGCUCUGGUACCUGCAUUGUUUGUUCAGCAGCAGUGGCUGAACCUCUUUCUUCUCAUUUCCUGCAGUCAUGCAAAAAAAAGGAAAUUAUCCCAAGCAGUGUUAAUUCCUAGCACACAAGGAGAAGAAGAUUCCCCAACCACCAUGCAACAUCCAGCAGAACACGCACAAAACAUUAUUCACUUCUUCAGUCAUCUACCACCUGGCACCUGCUUCAGAGGAAAUGUUAACCACUCUGGACAAUCUGGGGAAUGCCUUUUGGGGAAGCAUCUAGCCUACAGAAAGACAGAUUCCUCCUACCAAAGAGCUACCCUGGUCUGAGCACACUGCUCACAUUGCUAUUCAAUCUCUCCUGAAGCUUUAACACACCAAAUACAUCAAUAAAUCUGCUCAUACUCACCUGUCAAUGAGCUGCAGCACUGCACAGACAUCCUCAAGGCCAGUGGUAUCUGAGGUACCAGAUUGUUUCAUUGCUUAACUGUGGCCCAAAGAGAGGGUUGAGCUGAGCCAGAAUUGCAAUCAGCCAACUGCAAGAGAACCCCCCAGCCCAAGAGACACAAAUCAGCCAAAGGACAGCUUGUGACAAUGGAAGGUUGUCCAAACACCAGGACUAUCAGAGAAGAAAAGGUUAUUUUAGGAAGGUCUAGGUUCAAAUAAAGAUUCUACUCAAGGUCAAACACAAGGACCAGCCACCAGCAAUGAAGUUAUGGCACCAAAUCAUUCUGCAACUGAAACAGAUUGUCCUGUUCAACUGAAAGCAACACAAAAUCACCUGCUAGCAUUGCCCUCACACCUCUCUUUGACAGAAAAGUGUUUUGAGACACAUGAAACUCAGGAUUUUGGGGGCUCAGAAGAUGAAAACAUAAAAGAGACAAGAGCUUUUUUCAGUGCCUUUGAAGCAUCCUUUAAACAACAACCUCUGAGAAACAUCCUCUCUCUCAUUUGCUUCUCAGUGCACAGCAACCUGCCCUUGCAGAUGUGGUAUAUUUUUCAGAGAUUUAACAAAAGUGAAUUUAAACCUGGCACAGAGGUCAAGAAACAGGGACCUGAAGCAAAAGGGUACAAAAGAACACAAAGACCAACAAAGUACCCCACAAAAACAACCCCAAUAUGACACAAACCCCAGAUGAUCAGCACAGCAGCCUUGUCACUGGAGCAGAGCACAAACUAACACUGCAGAAGCCAUGGCCAGAACUGAGAGCAAGAGGAAUGUAGUUUGUGGAAAAUAUCCAGGAAAGCUAAACAGAAAUAAAUAUUCCACUCUUAAAAGAUAUAUUUGCUUUGUAAAUGUUACAAGAAUCAGAAAAAGCAAUGGAUGCUUCCACGGAUUUAAAUCUAUGUUAAAUACUAACUAUAUAAACACAUUUAGUGAA
Long non-coding RNA from Agelaius phoeniceus (red-winged blackbird), 2419 nucleotides. RefSeq lists it as uncharacterized. The record is from RefSeq and is a predicted model, not a curated record. Lineage: Eukaryota; Metazoa; Chordata; Aves; Passeriformes; Icteridae.